UACGGAGGGUCCAAGCGUUAUCCGGAAUCAUUGGGUUUAAAGGGUCCGCAGGCGGGCAAUUAAGUCAGGGGUGAAAUGGUGCGGCUCAACCGUAGCACUGCCUUUGAUACUGGUUGUCUUGAGUUAUGGUGAAGUGGCCGGAAUAUGUAGUGUAGCGGUGAAAUGCAUAGAUAUUACAUAGAACACCGAUUGCGAAGGCAGGUCACUAACCAUGGACUGACGCUGAUGGACGAAAGCGUGGGGAGCGAACGGG
This 253-nucleotide ribosomal RNA is filed under the name uncultured bacterium. Its description in RNAcentral is "partial 16S ribosomal RNA". It matches the Rfam family "Bacterial small subunit ribosomal RNA", at positions 524 to 776 of the family's 1533-position model. RNAcentral also lists the same sequence under 1 other name. The record is from RNAcentral.